CACACACACACACACACACACACACACACACACACAGACACACACACACACAGCUUUUCUGCUAACAACACAACAUGGCCGUGGUCUGUGUAAACAGAGACCGGUCUAUCUUCACCACACAUUCACAGAAACAACAGGGUGUAAGGUUACAGCAGAAGUCACCACUACAAUCCACCCUGAUCAGGUAGCAGGUCUGUGGCCUCUGCCUGCUCAGUCCUCCUCCCGGAUCCACACGCUUCACAAUUGUUAUACUUUGUAUCAGAUAUUCUGUCAAUGCAAUCUGCAAAUUGAGGUGUUGUUGUUUUGUUCUGUAAUUAAGACAUGUCUGUCUGUGCUGGGAGAGGGACCCCUCCUCUGUGGCUCCUCCUGAGGUUUCUUACAUCUAUUUUUUUUCCUCCUGUCAACAGAACUGUAAACCCGUAACUUCAUGUUUUAUGUAUAAAAGCUUUUUUCAUGGUGACUGAGUCUUGUUUGUUCUCAGUAUUUCUAAAGUGGACAUAUCAAGUCAAUUAAUUUAGAUUACAUGAACUGGUUAUUACUUUGAUUAUUCAUUUAAUUCUCCGCUCUAUUAGAAGUGUAUAACCUUUUGAAAACAAUAUCAUCAAUAAGAUUUUUCUUUUAAAUUCAAUCAAUGUACAUUUUCUUUCACACAGUAAGCAAAUCAGCUGCAACUGCAAGCCUCACAGAUGUUCAUUAUUUAUGCCCCAGGUAGUCCUUGUUAGUAUGUUGUAGCCUAAAAAGAUCAAAUAAUGUGAUAAAAAUCAGAGACAUUUUCGUAUUUAUGACUGAUCAGAAUCUUAAAUCAUGUGAUUCCAAGGGAUCAUGAUUGACAAGUGUCUGGCCCCUUUCCGUGACAUCACCCCCAUCAAUUCAUUCACAUGACAUCCAACAUGAAUUUAUGGUCAAAGUACAGAACAGAAAACAAUAACACUUGAGCUGUGGUGUCCCAGAUGACCCAAAUCCUCCUUAUUAUAAUAUGAGAGUAAUGUAACUUGAUUCCUUUCUGAUUAGUUUUUAUUACUUCAAUAUCAUGGAAAAUUAAAAACCAAUAAAAAUGAAACAUAUUUAAUCUUAUUAAGAACAGUGUGCUCUGUGUCCUGCCUCAGUUCUGUUACUUCCUGGUUCAGUCCAGGUGAACCCCCAGCAAAAUAAGUCCCACCCUCCUUGAGGACGGGGAUUGGCGCCCGCCAAAAUUAGCUGCUUCGCGCCUAAAUUGAGACCCGCCCACGACUCGUUGAGUGUAUUUCGUGCUAAAACAUUUAGAAGCUUCAUAAACCACAGGUGGAUCUUCACUUUGGUCGGAGCAGCUCUUCUCUGAGGACACGAACAAGGUGAAAAGUGGGACUUGUCUUCAUCUUCAAGUGGAACAGCUGGUGAUCAGACCUGGAGAGGCGAGUCACCUGGUCUAACAAGGUGAUGGGCGAAUCGAAAGGAAGGAUGAACAACACGAGCAGUCGAGACGAACAAGACAAGCAUUCAGGAUGAAGACAAGCCACAACAGGAACCUGAAGCAGCAGUGGUUGUGAUGGACGAGUUGAAAAGGAUGAAUCACCGGGACGAUCAAGACGAGCCAAGCGACAGAUACGAGCCACCACAGGAGCCUGAAGUGGCAGGAAAAGUAAUGACCAGAUGAGCAGUGAGCUGGGCUCUGCAAGAAAACACAAAGAGCAGUAGGCUGCUGAGGACGUCGCAGCUGCUGACCCUCUUGUUGGGCGACGGUUUCCUGAACUGCAGGACAUUGGACAGACAUUUCUUGAUGAAAACUCCUUCAGGUCGUUGUGGACUGCGACUUCACCUGCUCACAGACAUGGACUCUGUACUUUUAUUCAAGCCAACUUCUCAUCAGCUUUUAAAGAGGAACAACAGAAAGCGCCCUGACUGGAAACAUGACUGAAAAGAGGUAACUGCCACCACACCAUCAGACUACAGACAAACAGACAGCUCCUGUCUUCAAAUGCACAUCCAGGCGUGUCAUACGUUUGCAGAUGACAAUAACCAAUCAGAGAGCUUGUUACAUCGACUAAUUUGUGUUUUACCUCAUUUUACUGGCUCGAGGACCAAAGUGCCAUGGAAAGGCUAAAUUGCAAAGCAGACAGAAAAGGAAAUUUCCCUUUUAAAAAUCUCUAUUCUUACUUACAUUUUUUAAUCCAGCUACUUGUCUUUUUAAACCAUAUUUUCAAAUAGAUUUUUUAAAUUCCAUUAUUAUUUAUAACACGUUUCAUGUCAUGUUUCUUUGAAAGAUGUUAAAUGAUGGUUUUGUAAAUUAGUACGCACUAUUUAUUGAUGGAUUAAAAUUUCAUUUGUAAAUUCUA
Molecule: long non-coding RNA, 2312 nt
Organism: Acanthopagrus latus (yellowfin seabream)
Lineage: Eukaryota; Metazoa; Chordata; Actinopteri; Spariformes; Sparidae
Exons: 6
Source: RefSeq, a predicted model, not a curated record